This is a long non-coding RNA of Apis cerana (Asiatic honeybee), 3726 nucleotides long. RefSeq lists it as uncharacterized. The record is from RefSeq and is a predicted model, not a curated record. NCBI's taxonomy places the organism in Eukaryota, Metazoa, Arthropoda, Insecta, Hymenoptera, Apidae.
UAGUUUCUCUCUCUAUAUUAUAUCUAUAAAGUAAGAUUAAUAUUCAUUAUAUAUUAUAUGUAUAUUAUACAUAUAAUACAUAUAAUAUAUGUAAAUACUAUGUAUUUUGAAAAAUAUAUAAAGAUUUUUUACUAUAAAAAAUUCUUAGUCGUAAUUCUUAUUCUCAUAAACUUGUAUCAAUUACGCAUCUUUCAUAUGAGAUAUAAUGCAUCUAGGUAGGAAGACGCGCUUGGAAAAUCGAUAGAGCUACAGCUGUCGCGCAAAACCUGUAUUGCGCAAUAAUACGUGUUCUUUGCAUAAGGACGAGAAACAUCGAAUUUGGAAGGUCGUUAAUAUAUGAUUAAAUAAAUACGAUAAAAUUAUUGUAUAAUUCACUUAUGAUUACAUUACUUUUUUUAUCGUCAUCAAUUAUAUAAUAUAUAUAAUAAUUGUAACUCGAAAUAUUGACAUAUUACACAUAUGUGUUUAUAAACACAAUAUUAUCACAUGUAUUAAUUUUUGUAGUCAUUUCUUCAAAUUAUUAUUUUAAAACAAAAAACUUUUUUAUUUUAUCUUUAUGCUUUGUUUUAGUAUCGACAGAAUUCGUUCCUAGCAAACAUAUGUUCAGAAUAAUUGCGCAGUUUCAAAAACAUGUAUAAUGAAAUAUUUUUUUAUGAAAUUGCGUCGCAAUUUAAUAUUUAAUUAAUUUUAAUUAAAAACUUAGAAAAAAACAUACCUAUUGUUUUUUAGCAUGUUAAUAAUCGCACUCUUAUCUCAUAUCUAUGAAAAUAUAAUCUAAUUAUUAAAUUCAGUAAAAAAUAUAAUAUCUUUAUUCAGAGAUCAGAUAAAUGCAAAAGAAGUCACAAAAUGUUCCUUAAAAUUUCAUAUUUCAACUAUCAAAAUAAUAAAUAACGAGAAUAUGAUACAAACAUAUAUUCUAGAAAUAACGUAAAAGUUUAUAUUAUUAAUAAAGGCGAUUUUAGACAUUCCUUGAUUUCGAGAAUUACGUAUUUCUAAAAUAUAGCCCUUUCUCCUGACGUAACGAUGAAAACAAACAGUCAAAUAACACGAGGUUAGUCGUUCCUUGUUUUCGUAAACAUAGUUCAACCACCACAACUAUACUAUGUAUAUCAUAAGAGAAAGUAUAUGAUUGUGUGAGUUAGGUUAUAGUGGGGUUAGGUGGGAGAAUGUGCCAGAAAUCUCGUUGCUUUGUCGAUCAAUACUCGGUUUUUGCUUAUUAUUUUCGAAAAAAUAUGGUAAAUCGUAAUGAUCGUACCAUUGAAUAAUAAUUCAUGACACAAGGAACACAAUAAUAUUAAUGAUUGUCAUAUAUAUGAUGGAAAAAGUAUUGAAAUUACAAGUUGAAAGAUAAUGCGCAUUAGAUGCCGGGUGCCGGUACAAGUUCUCGAACUUUCAGCACUGCGACGCCGCAUGCCUAUAUAAGAGAGCCGGCCGGCUUGUCUCGGCGCAUUCGUAAACAAACUUUCGUUCAGUUCGGACGCAGUGAACACCCGAAGACCCACUAACCAGUGAAUAUACCUCUACUUCUUUUACGUGGUCCACGAGGCUGCUGACAAUACGACGUGAAAAUGUAGACGAGACGGAUUCGGUGCGGAGCGCGACAGUUUACCUGCACCCUGCGGGGUCGGUGCUUGAACAAUCCGUACGCAACCAUAAUCUGAUCUGAUUAGAGAGUUCGAAAUUUCUUCACACAUUUGAAGUAUUUAAGAAAAGCACUUCGAAUUAUAUGCAGUAGUUUAGAGCAGAUUCGUAGUUUGAAGUCGAAUAAAUCGUCGGCUCCAUCUUGUCAAAACGAAUACUCUACCACAAGAACAUAUGGAACUUUGGAAUUCAGAACGAAAAAUAAAAUCAAAACGGAACAGGAAAUAAAAGAAAAAAGGAACAUAAAAAGGCUCGAAAAAAAAAACGGAUCACUUUCCUAGCGUCGAGCAGCAUCGAGCGAGUCCUUUGCUCGGGACUCACUACCACCGAGCUCUUCUCUCCAUCUUUUUACCUUUUUGGGUGCCGUGAUAGUUAAAACACCAUCUGAAGAUAGACUCGAGGUAAUGUUGAUCACGUCGUGAGAUGGAGGCAAGACGUAUCUCCGUAUGAAUUGUCGGCUGACAAAUCCGUGCUCGUCUUGUCUCUCCUCGUGUUUUGCUUCGACAAUAACAUUAUUACCGACCGUCUUCACCGUAAUCUCUUCCGGUGAGAAUUGUUGAACGUCCAGUAUUACCUGUGGAGAUCAGAGCAGAACAAUUGAGACAGGCCCGAAGUUUAAAGGUCGAGCAGGGGUAUCUUUUAUUGGAGCACGAUGUUACGUGUAACGAAUAUGAUAUUUCAAAGAGGCAAUAAGAGAGAUCUGAACGACCAUUGAGAAAACACAUCCAUUUCACAUCCGAUUCUGGCCUCACAUCUUAUAUACCAUUGAUUCUAUUAAAUCAUCAUUUAUUGCGAAAAUUUCAAAUAUCAAGCUUUUUCACACCGAUUCAGGGAAAGGCUAAUUCUUUUGAAUUAACGCCGCUUUAAGCAAAUGAAGUUCGUCUUCGCCUGCUAUUAAAAACCUACGUUUAGAAUUAACACGUUAGGCAGUCUGUGUCUAUAUUACGAAAUAACAGAUUUCCUUCUCUGAAAGAUCCCUAAAUGUCCAGUUAUUGGAUAUAAAUUUGCAGUCAGCUAUUAGCUACAAUACGCACAACCUUUCUAAAAUCUUCUGUAUAAUCACUUUAAUAAGUAUUUGUCAAAAAAAAGUAAAACAUUGAAAAGUAUAAAAAAAAAAUCCGUUCUUCCGGUAAAUUCGAGUUAUCCAUGCAAAAUAGACGAGCCACGAGGCUCGUUGACGUUUAAAAAAUAUGAAUACAUAUUAGAAAAAAAUGUAGAAAAGUAGUCUGUUUUUCUAUUUUUUACCGGUUUCAAAGUUUCGCUUAUUUCCUCUUUUUUUAUAUAUAUAUAUCUAUAUAUCUAUAUAUAUAUAUAUAUAUUUAUAUAUAUAUUUUCAUAUGAUAUCUGCGUUUUCUUAUGUUGAUUCUAUAUGAAAGUAACCGUUGUGACGAGCAAACCGGAAAGAUGUAGUUGACAAACGAACCUACUAUAACAUCGUUUCUCUUUUUUUUUUUCUAUUCGCAGAAAAAACAAGCAAGUAGGUGGAAUAAUUUUUUAUUAAGCAAAAACAAACAGAAUUGCUGUGUUGAGACUUUUUUAUUUUAAAAACAAAUUAUCUUGUGAUUAGCAGUUCCAAUUUAAGGUUGUAAAAAGAGAAAAAAGAAGGAAGAUAUAAAAUAUAUCAAGGAAAAGCCAACCGUAAUUUUUUCGGGUGAUUCCUAUAUGAUCCCAAAAUCCGAUGAAAGUUAAAAAUAGAAAAAGAAUCUGUAUAGUGAUAUACAAAACCUUCGCUUUCUUUCUUUUGAGCAAAGUAGCAAAAGACCAAUAAACGGAUUUUAAAUCUCCAGUGCUGCUGCAUAUUGUAUACAGAGAGGAAGAGAGGGAGAGAAAGAGAGAGAUUGCGCACUUGCAUUUUUGUACAUAUAAAAUAUUUCGUAUUGAAUCGUUUUCUAUCGUUGAUGAUUCGAGAAGCAUUUAUUUUUAUAUAGAGAUUAUUAUAUAUAGCGAAAAGAGAGAUCCGAAAAUUUUAAAGGAAAGCCGAAUUUUUUAGUCCGAGAGCGGCGCCCCCAUUUAAGGGGGGUGCUCCGACACACACCUUACAUUUUCUCGGUUCUUUCUGUAAACAAAGAAAAAAAAAAAAAAGAA